UACGAAGGGGGCUAGCGUUGUUCGGAAUUACUGGGCGUAAAGGGCGCGCAGGCGGCUGCUCAAGUCAGGCGUGAAAGGCCUGGGCUCAACCCGGGAAUUGCGCUUGAGACUGGGCUGGCUUGAGUGCGGGAGAGGAUGGUGGAAUUCCCAGUGUAGAGGUGAAAUUCGUAGAUAUUGGGAAGAACACCGGUGGCGAAGGCGGCCAUCUGGACCGAAACUGACGCUGAGGCGCGAAAGCGUGGGGAGCAAACAGG
Molecule: ribosomal RNA, 254 nt
Filed under: uncultured bacterium
Lineage: Bacteria
Description: partial 16S ribosomal RNA
Rfam family: Bacterial small subunit ribosomal RNA
Source: RNAcentral